AGACGAAAACGAGAGUGAGAAUGGAAGUGAGGAUGACAUUGAGAAAGAGGAUGAGAGGGAGGAGUAACAAAAGUGAAAAAAAAAUUCAUCUCAUCUUCUCUCUCAAUCCCAUCUCUACUCUUAUUCUCACUUCCAUUCUCCCUUUUCUCUAUAGAUU
Molecule: microRNA precursor, 157 nt
Filed under: Prunus dulcis (almond)
Lineage: Eukaryota; Viridiplantae; Streptophyta; Magnoliopsida; Rosales; Rosaceae
Description: sRNA ncRNA
Source: RNAcentral